UCACCGAUCAUCCAGAUUCAG
RNAcentral lists this non-coding RNA (21 nucleotides) under Caenorhabditis elegans. The record is from RNAcentral. Lineage: Eukaryota; Metazoa; Nematoda; Chromadorea; Rhabditida; Rhabditidae.